UCCACGGUCUCUGCGACGCAGCUAACGCAUUAAGCGCCCCGCCUGGGGAGUACGAUCGCAAGAUUAAAACUCAAAGGAAUUGACGGGGCCCCGCACAAGCAGCGGAGCAUGCGGCUUAAUUCGACGCAACGCGAAGAACCUUACCAAGGCUUGACAUAUACAGGAAUACGGCAGAGAUGUCGUAGCCGCAAGGUCUGUAUACAGGUGGUGCAUGGUUGUCGUCAGCUCGUGUCGUGAGAUGUUGGGUUAAGUCCCGCAACGAGCGCAACCCUCGUUCUGUGUUGCCAGCAUUUAGUUGGGGACUCACAGGAGACUGCCGGGGUUAACUCGGAGGAAGGUGGGGAUGACGUCAAAUCAUCAUGCCCCUUAUGUCUUGGGCUGCACGCAUGCUACAAUGGCUGGUACAAACGGCUGCAAUACCGCAAGGUGGAGCGAAUCCGAGAAAGCCAGUCUCAGUUCGGAUUGGGGUCUGCAACUCGACCCCAUGAAGUCGGAGUUGCUAGUAAUCGUAGAUCAGCAACGCUACGGUGAAUACGUUCCCGGGGCUUGUACACACCGCCCGUCACGUCACGAAAGUCGGUAACACC
RNAcentral lists this ribosomal RNA (587 nucleotides) under uncultured Actinomycetes bacterium. RNAcentral describes it as "bacterial SSU rRNA". It matches the Rfam family "Bacterial small subunit ribosomal RNA", at positions 831 to 1421 of the family's 1533-position model. Lineage: Bacteria; Bacillati; Actinomycetota; Actinomycetes. The record is from RNAcentral.